This 468-nucleotide ribosomal RNA is filed under the name uncultured bacterium. RNAcentral's name for it is "bacterial SSU rRNA". It matches the Rfam family "Bacterial small subunit ribosomal RNA", at positions 30 to 496 of the family's 1533-position model. The record is from RNAcentral.
AUUGAACGCUGGCGGCAGGCCUAACACAUGCAAGUCGAGCGCGAAAUUCCUUCGGGAUGAGUAGAGCGGCGGACGGGUGAGUAAUGCGCAGAAAUCUGCCCAGUAGUGGGGGACAACCUGGUGAAAACCAGGCUAAUACCGCAUACGCCCUACGGGGAAAGGCAGGGAUCUUCGGACCUUGCGCUAUUGGAUGAGUCUGCGUCGGAUUAGCUUGUUGGUGAGGUAAUGGCUCACCAAGGCGACGAUCCGUAGCUGGUCUGAGAGGAUGAUCAGCCACACUGGGACUGAGACACGGCCCAGACUCCUACGGGAGGCAGCAGUGGGGAAUAUUGGACAAUGGGCGAAAGCCUGAUCCAGCCAUGCCGCGUGUGUGAAGAAGGCUCUAGGGUUGUAAAGCACUUUCAGUGGGAAGAAAGCUUGUUAGCUAAUAACUGACGAGUGUGACAUUACCCACAGAAGAAGCACCGG